RNAcentral lists this transfer RNA (73 nucleotides) under Patescibacteria group bacterium. RNAcentral describes it as "tRNA-Val". It matches the Rfam family "tRNA". From Rfam's summary of the family: Transfer RNA (tRNA) molecules are approximately 80 nucleotides in length. Their secondary structure includes four short double-helical elements and three loops (D, anti-codon, and T loops). Further hydrogen bonds mediate the characteristic L-shaped molecular structure. tRNAs have two regions of fundamental functional importance: the anti-codon, which is responsible for specific mRNA codon recognition, and the 3' end, to which the tRNAs corresponding amino acid is attached (by aminoacyl-tRNA synthetases). tRNAs cope with the degeneracy of the genetic code in two manners: having more than one tRNA (with a specific anti-codon) for a particular amino acid; and 'wobble' base-pairing, i.e. permitting non-standard base-pairing at the 3rd anti-codon position. The record is from RNAcentral. RNAcentral also lists the same sequence under 1 other name.
GGGCGAUUAACUCAGCGGUUAGAGUGCUAUCCUCACACGAUAGAAGUCGGUGGUUCGAAUCCACCAUCGCCCA